Triticum urartu is the source of this 98-nucleotide non-coding RNA. The record is from Rfam. NCBI's taxonomy places the organism in Eukaryota, Viridiplantae, Streptophyta, Magnoliopsida, Poales, Poaceae.
UCAUUCGGAUUCGCCAUCAUACGUCCAACCGUGCAUUUGGUAUGCAUAUAUAUGCAUCACGAGCCACGGUUGGGUUGUAUGAUGGCGAUACCGAUUAG